Long non-coding RNA from Apis dorsata (giant honeybee), 348 nucleotides. RefSeq lists it as uncharacterized. The transcript is spliced from 2 exons. NCBI's taxonomy places the organism in Eukaryota, Metazoa, Arthropoda, Insecta, Hymenoptera, Apidae. The record is from RefSeq and is a predicted model, not a curated record.
UCGCUUCAGAUCGAAAUGAAACAAAAAUUAAAUAUUUUCCUACGUGUUACGGCAAUUUCUUUUUCCGUUCAUUUUAUUCAAUCUUUUUUCGUUCACGAUGGAAUCUCGAUAACACAACCGACGUACAUUCUGACCUAUAUCGCGACUCGUCACCAGGAUGGAAUCUGGCGCAGAUUGCUCGAUUUCACAAAAAUCACUCUCUUAUAUGUUUACGCUCGUCUAUCGAGCAUCAGGCCAUAAUAAUAAUAUCUACUGAUACUAUGAGAACGAGAAUUUUAUGUGAAUGAAUUUUUAGUAUUGGAAACACCAACACCGUUAAAAACGAAUGAUUAUGAUAGGUUACCAAAG